RNAcentral lists this unclassified non-coding RNA (253 nucleotides) under uncultured Nitriliruptoraceae bacterium. RNAcentral describes it as "contains 16S-23S intergenic spacer region". It matches the Rfam family "Bacterial small subunit ribosomal RNA", at positions 524 to 776 of the family's 1533-position model. Lineage: Bacteria; Bacillati; Actinomycetota; Nitriliruptoria; Nitriliruptorales; Nitriliruptoraceae. The record is from RNAcentral.
UACGUAGGGUCCGAGCGUUGUCCGGAAUCAUUGGGCGUAAAGCACAUGUAGGCGGCCCAGUAAGUAGGAUGUGAAAGCCCGAGGCUCAACUUCGGAAAUGCAUUCGGUACUACUGGGCUUGAGGAAGGUAGAAGAGAGUGGAAUUCCCGGUGCAGUGGUGGAAUGCGCAGAUAUCGGGAGGAACACCAGCGGCGAAGGCGGCUCUCUGGGCCACUCCUGACGCUGAGACGCGAAAGCGUGGGUAGCAAACAGG